RNAcentral lists this ribosomal RNA (497 nucleotides) under uncultured bacterium. RNAcentral describes it as "partial 16S ribosomal RNA". It matches the Rfam family "Bacterial small subunit ribosomal RNA", at positions 28 to 507 of the family's 1533-position model. The record is from RNAcentral.
GAUGAACGCUGGCGGCGUGCCUAAUACAUGCAAGUCGAGCGAACAGACGAGGAGCUUGCUCCUCUGACGUUAGCGGCGGACGGGUGAGUAACACGUGGAUAACCUACCUAUAAGACUGGGAUAACUUCGGGAAACCGGAGCUAAUACCGGAUAAUAUAUUGAACCGCAUGGUUCAAUAGUGAAAGACGGUUUUGCUGUCACUUAUAGAUGGAUCCGCGCCGCAUUAGCUAGUUGGUAAGGUAACGGCUUACCAAGGCAACGAUGCGUAGCCGACCUGAGAGGGGGAUCGGCCACACUGGAACUGAGACAAGGUCCAGCCUCCUACGGGAGGCAGCAGUAGGGAAUCUUCCGCAAUGGGCGAAAGCCUGACGGAGCAACGCCGCGUGAGUGAUGAAGGUCUUCGGAUCGUAAAACUCUGUUAUUAGGGAAGAACAAAUGUGUAAGUAACUAUGCACGUCUUGACGGUACCUAAUCAGAAAGCCACGGCUAACUACGUG